This 522-nucleotide small RNA is filed under the name Pongo abelii (Sumatran orangutan). Its description in RNAcentral is "processed transcript". Lineage: Eukaryota; Metazoa; Chordata; Mammalia; Primates; Hominidae. The record is from RNAcentral.
GCGGCCGCCGCCGUCCCGGGGCGGACGGGCGCGGGCGGGAGGAUGGAGCUGAACUCCCUGCUGAUCCUGCUGGAGGCGGCCGAGUACCUAGAGCGCAGGGAUCGAGAGGCCGAGCACGGCUACGCCUCGGUGCUGCCCUUCGACGGCGACUUCGCCAGGGAGAAAACAAAGGCGGUCGGCCUGGUGCGCAAGGCCCCGAACAACAGGUCUUCGCACAACGAGCUAGAAAAGCACAGAGACCGCAUCCCAGGCACUCGGAGGCUGAGCCACAUCCUCCACUGCUCCCCACGGGCACUAACAUUGCCGAUGAGACUUGGAUAAGGAGGGGACCUUGUUCUCCAUGUCCUCACUUGAUCUUUCACCCGACACCACGUACGUAAGUCCUGUCCGCCUGCGUCAGGGCGCACUCCUCCACCUCCUCAUCCCUGAUGACUGCACAGGACACUUGGCUGUGCCACCAGCGUUCUUAGUGAUGACCCUCUGGUUUACACAGGGACUUCCGGACGGUCCUGCGAUGUGCCU